This 254-nucleotide ribosomal RNA is filed under the name uncultured bacterium. Its description in RNAcentral is "partial 16S ribosomal RNA". It matches the Rfam family "Bacterial small subunit ribosomal RNA", at positions 524 to 776 of the family's 1533-position model. The record is from RNAcentral.
UACAGAGGGUGCGAGCGUUAAUCGGAAUUACUGGGCGUAAAGGGCGCGUAGGCGGCCACCGCAAGUCGACUGUGAAAUCUCCGGGCUUAACCCGGAAAGGUCAGCCGAUACUGCGGGGCUAGAGUGCAGAGGGGGCAACUGGAAUUCUCGGUGUAGCGGUGAAAUGCGUAGAUAUCGAGAGGAACACCUGCGGCGAAGGCGGGUUGCUGGGCUGACACUGACGCUGAGGCGCGAAAGCUAGGGGAGCGAACGGG